CCUACGGGAGGCAGCAGUGAGGAAUAUUGGUCAAUGGACGGAAGUCUGAACCAGCCAUGCCGCGUGCAGGAAGACGGCCCUAUGAGUUGUAAACUGCUUUUGUAUGAGGGUAAACCUGAAUAUGUGUACCCACCUGUAUGUACUGUACGAUUAAGGAUCGGCUAACUCCGUGCCAGCAGCCGCGGUAAUACGGAGGAUCCAAGCGUUAUCCGGAUUUAUUGGGUUUAAAGGGUGCGUAGGCGGAUUGUUAAGUUAGUGGUGAAAGGUCACGGCUUAACUGUGGAAGUGCCUCUGAUACUGGUGAUCUAGAGAGUAGAUGCGGUAGGCGGAAUGUGUGGUGUAGCGGUGAAAUGCUUAGAGAUCAUACAGAACACCGAUUGCGAAGGCAGCUUACCAAUCUAUAACUGACGCUGAGGCACGAAAGCGUGGGGAGCAAACAGGAUUAGAUACCCCGGUAGUC
This 460-nucleotide ribosomal RNA is filed under the name uncultured bacterium. RNAcentral describes it as "partial 16S ribosomal RNA". It matches the Rfam family "Bacterial small subunit ribosomal RNA", at positions 338 to 795 of the family's 1533-position model. The record is from RNAcentral.